CCUAAAAUCUAAAUCCUAAAAUCCUAAAAUCCUAAACACUAAACCCUAAAAAUCCUAAACCUUAAACCUUAAAAACUCUAAACCCUGAAUCCUAAACCCCCUAAACCCUAAAUCCUAAAUCCUAAAUCCUAAAAUCCUAAAAAUCUGAACUCUGAACCCUAAACCCUAAAUCCUAAAUCCUAAAUCCUAAAACCCCAAACCCUAAAACCCUAAACUCUAAAAUCCUAAAUCCUAAACCAUAAAUCCAAAAUUUAAAAUCCCAAAAAUCCAAAUCCCAAAUCCCACACCCUACAUCCUAAAUCCUAAACCCU
Molecule: long non-coding RNA, 311 nt
Filed under: Elaeis guineensis (African oil palm)
Lineage: Eukaryota; Viridiplantae; Streptophyta; Magnoliopsida; Arecales; Arecaceae
Description: long non-coding RNA (EGUI_LNC004066)
Source: RNAcentral